Molecule: small RNA, 898 nt
Filed under: Pongo abelii (Sumatran orangutan)
Lineage: Eukaryota; Metazoa; Chordata; Mammalia; Primates; Hominidae
Description: retained intron
Source: RNAcentral
GGCGGCCCGGCGCGGGGCUCUCAUAGUGCUGGAGGGCGUGGACCGCGCGGGGAAGAGCACGCAGAGCCGCAAGCUGGUGGAAGCGCUGUGCGCCGCGGGCCACCGCGCCGAACUGCUCCGGUUCCCGGAAAGAUCAACUGAAAUUGGCAAACUUCUGAGUUCCUACUUGCAAAAGAAAAGUGACGUGGAGGAUCACUCGGUGCACCUGCUUUUUUCUGCAAAUCGCUGGGAACAAGUGUAAAAACCAUUGCACAUUGCUGCCUCUGCCCUUGCCACUUCUCUUCCUCCUGAGAUUCAGUGAAUGCCGCACUUGAUUCUGAAUGACAGUGACAGUAAUGCUGGGGCCUGAGGUUCUUUUAUUUAGCAGUCCUGUGAGCAGAGGUGGUGAAGCGCCCUAGUUCCCAAAGGGCGCUAAUGAAUGCUGUUUCGUCCUUCUGCUCCCCACACCCCAUAACUAAUAGACUUCAGUUUUUCGGGGUUUUUUAGACGGAGUUCCGCUCUGUUGCCAGGUGGAGGUGCGAUCUCGGCUCACUGCAACCUCCGCCUCCCAGGUUCAAGCGAUUCUCCUGCGUCAGCCUCCCGAGUAACUGGGACUACAGGCACACACCAGCAUGCUCAGCUAAUUUUUGUAAUUUUAAUUUACUUUAUUUUUUAAUUUAAUUUUUGUAUUUUUAGUACAGACAGGGUUUCACUGUUGGCCAGGAUGGUCUCUGUUGACCUUGUGAUCCACUCCCCUCGGCCUCCCAAAGUUCUGGGAUUACAGCAGGUGUGAGCCACCGCACCUGGCUCCCCCCCGCUUUUUUUUUUAUUUUGAAGACAAGGUAUUGCUCUGUGGCCCAGGCUGGAGUGCAGUGGCACACGAUCAUGGCUCACUGCAGCCUCAACUUCCUAGGCUCAA